UCUUGUCCCCCACUCCAGCCCCGCUGCUGAUGACAUCUCCUCCCGUCCUGUGUCAGCGCUGUGACACUAGCAGGAGGAGGUGUGGGGGCGGGACCAGCAAAGGACGGCUUCGGGAGCAGAGAGCUGCAGUCACAGCUGACUGCAGUUCUGCCAGGAGCCACUAGAUGCCCCCACUUCUAUGGACGGAGCCAUCUCAUCACCUGAGGACUCAGGAACAAACGAGAGACUGCUGCCUGGGGCCAGUACAGAGGAACUAAAUUGUUUGCUACAGGGCUGUAACCAGGUGUGCGCGGACAGUGCAUGGCACACAGCACAAUUGGCCUCUACCUGCUAUCUACCUGCUAUCCUCUUUGCAUGCUGCUGGGUCAUUACGGCAGCGAUCGGAGCUGGGGGAUUUACAGUGGACGGCUCCUGAAAUGCAGGCACUGGAGCAGCAGCUGUAGUUUUCCGGCUCCCAAUCCCCACACUUCUUAUGUGGUUCAGGGUGCAGCUACUUCCAUUGAUUUGGGUAGUGAAACUUAUAGCUAAAUAAAUGGAAUUUAAGACUUUUGCAUGAGUGGAAACACCCACUUAUCGUGCUGGACUAAAACGUUCACUGUUUGUCAGCAGAAAAUAUACCAUGUGAAUUCAACACUGUAGUUCAAUAACUCAGUUUACCUACCUUUAAAAUAAAAUAAUAGCUAUUAUAUUGUA
Long non-coding RNA from Pseudophryne corroboree (corroboree frog), 693 nucleotides. RefSeq lists it as uncharacterized. The transcript has 2 exons. The record is from RefSeq and is a predicted model, not a curated record. NCBI's taxonomy places the organism in Eukaryota, Metazoa, Chordata, Amphibia, Anura, Myobatrachidae.